This 250-nucleotide ribosomal RNA is filed under the name uncultured bacterium. Its description in RNAcentral is "partial 16S ribosomal RNA". It matches the Rfam family "Bacterial small subunit ribosomal RNA", at positions 28 to 261 of the family's 1533-position model. The record is from RNAcentral.
GACGAACGCUGGCGGCGUGCUUAACACAUGCAAGUCGAACGAGAAUCACUGGAAGGAGUUUUCGGACAACGGAAGGUGAGGACAGUGGCGGACGGGUGAGUAACGCGUGAGGAACCUGCCUUUCAGAGGGGGACAACAGUUGGAAACGACUGCUAAUACCGCAUGACACAUAGAGAUCGCAUGGUUUUUAUGUCAAAGAUUUAUCGCUGAAAGAUGGCCUCGCGUCUGAUUAGCUAGUUGGUGAGGUAAC